This 254-nucleotide ribosomal RNA is filed under the name uncultured bacterium. Its description in RNAcentral is "partial 16S ribosomal RNA". It matches the Rfam family "Bacterial small subunit ribosomal RNA", at positions 524 to 776 of the family's 1533-position model. The record is from RNAcentral.
CACGUAGGGGGCAAGCGUUGUCCGGAUUUAUUGGGCGUAAAGAGCUCGUAGGCGGUUCGGUAAGUCGGGUGUGAAACCUCCAGGCUCAACCUGGAGACGCCACCCGAUACUGCUGUGACUAGAGUCCGGUAGGGGAGCGUGGAAUUCCUGGUGUAGCGGUGAGAUGCGCAGAUAUCAGGAGGAACACCAGCGGCGAAGGCGGCGCUCUGGGCCGGAACUGACGCUGAGGAGCGAAAGCGUGGGGAGCAAACAGG